AUUCCAGCUCCAAUAGCGUAUAUUAAAGUUGUUGCAGUUAAAAAGCUCGUAGUUGGAUUUCUGGUACGGCGCGUUUGGCCGACACCCGUUAGGGUGUUCUGUGCCGUGCGCGCCUGCCAUCUUUCUAGAAAACCUCUCUACCCUUCACUGGGCCGGAUUGGCAGAUCUAGAACUUUUACUUUGAAAAAAUUAGAGUGUUUAAAGCAGGCUUGUGCUAUGAAUACAUUAGCAUGGAAUAAUAGAAUAGGAGGUCGUUUCUAUUUUGUUGGUUUUCGGAAAUCGACUUAAUGAUUAAUAGGGACAGUCGGGGGCAUUUGUAUUCAAACGACAGAGGUGAAAUUCUUGGACCGUUUGAAGACAAACUACUGCGAAAGCAUUUGCCAAGAAUGUUUUCAUCG
Molecule: ribosomal RNA, 398 nt
Filed under: Crustacea sp. 'Maxillopoda'
Lineage: Eukaryota; Metazoa; Arthropoda
Description: partial small subunit ribosomal RNA
Rfam family: Eukaryotic small subunit ribosomal RNA
Source: RNAcentral